CAGCCGUCUACCUCUGAGGGAGAAUGUGAACCUCCACUUUUCAGGGCACCCGGGGGCUCAGGUGGUUAAGUAUCAGAUGCUUGGUUUCGGCUCAGGUCGUGAUCUCAGGGUCAUGAGACCGAGCCCUGCAUUGGGCUGCACACUCCGGGCACCCCUGCCCAUUCAGACUCGACACGAGACAUCCGUUGCUUCCACAGAAGCUUAAGAAGUCAGGUUCCAGCUUAUGAUUAUUAGCUGACAAGGGAGAAAGCUCUGUGGGCCAGGGAAGGAAGAGACGCGGUGUCCUGUCUCCCUCCCCGGCCACACACACCCACCUGGCCACAGUGGGACCCCAGAUGGGCUGACCCUUCCCACAGAGUCCUGGGGGCACAUGGGGUGCAGCUCCUGCACCAGACUCUGUCCUAGACCCACCAAGACCCAGUUCUUCCCAGGCCUCUUGCUGUUCCAACGCAGAUCAGCAUCCGUAGAAGCAGACGGACCAGGAGGAACCUUGUGUGGUUUUACUGACAGAUUAAUGAUGCGAAGUUUGCGGUGACUAGGGGUGCAGGGGUGCUCAGUGCCCUGGAACGGUGCCCUCGGUGCCCUGCUGUGAUCCUCAUCUCAUAAACAGAACAUUCCAAAGGUUGAUUGGUAAAGCCCGGCGACUUCCUAGCUGCAGCGGGGCGCGCCCCACGGGACCAGCGCGUGACACAGGGUGCGGUGAAGAGCAGACAGACCCCACCCGGGAAGACAGGUCACGGAGCCCUAGGGAGAGACUUUCACAUGAAGCCCCUCCGAGGGCAGCAGCGGCCCUGGGUCGGGAGUCAGGAGCAUGAGCGGCAAACGCCCAGGCUCUGGGCUCACAGUCGACAGGACAUCAGUCCACGGCAGGGAAGACACGAAGGAGAGACCACACGAGUCCCUCAGCCACACUCUGUGCUCCACACCGGACGCCUUCGGGAAGAAGAAAAUACUGGAAAGCAAGACGCUUCCCAAGUGGCUGAAGAACAAGAGAAUGAACAGGCCUGUAGCUGUGGAAACACCAGGCUCGGACGAGAAUUUACCUUCUUCAGACUCCCCGAGAGCAAACACUCCAGUCCCUUCAUCAUCCGCCAGCAGCUGGGCUCCGGCGAGAAGGUAUCGGCACCCGGCCGGCAGCGGUAGCCGUGAGGAGACAGCGUGCCCAGAACCUGACUGCGCAGAAUCCACCAAGGAGACGAUGUGAGGACACCCAGUUCCCGCUUGGGGGGGACUUCUGGGUGUCCCACACACCUGCCCCUCCUCCUGGCACCUCUCCCUGCUGGCAUGAGC
Molecule: long non-coding RNA, 1290 nt
Filed under: Ursus maritimus (polar bear)
Lineage: Eukaryota; Metazoa; Chordata; Mammalia; Carnivora; Ursidae
Description: lncRNA (ENSUMAG00000022057.1)
Source: RNAcentral